GAUGAACGCUAGCGGCAGGCUUAAUACAUGCAAGUCGAACGGUAAGUUUGGUAGCAAUAUCAAACCAAGAGUGACGUACGGGUGCGUAACACGUAUGCAACCUACCUUGUACAGGAGUAUAGCUCGGGGAAACUCGAAUUAACCCUCCAUGAGAUCACAGUGUGGCAUCACACAGUGAUUAAAACUCAGGUGGUACAAGAUGGGCAUGCGUCUGAUAGUUAGUUGGCGGGGUAAUGGCCCACCAAGACGAUGAUCAGUAGGGGACCUGAGAGGGUGAUCCCCC
RNAcentral lists this ribosomal RNA (283 nucleotides) under uncultured bacterium. Its description in RNAcentral is "partial 16S ribosomal RNA". It matches the Rfam family "Bacterial small subunit ribosomal RNA", at positions 28 to 309 of the family's 1533-position model. The record is from RNAcentral.